RNAcentral lists this long non-coding RNA (40785 nucleotides) under Fragaria vesca (wild strawberry). RNAcentral describes it as "long non-coding RNA (FVES_LNC003567)". Lineage: Eukaryota; Viridiplantae; Streptophyta; Magnoliopsida; Rosales; Rosaceae. The record is from RNAcentral.
CUUAAACCUUUACUGCAUUUUCUUCCCUUCAUCCUUGUUUCUCAUGUAAGGAACUAAAUAAAUCAAUGGAUUGAGAAUAUAUAUAUACACACACACACACUCAGAGCCUUCAAUGAGGGAUCCAUAUUUUUUGUCACUUUUGGGGAUAGGUUCAUACCAUUAGAUAUAUUUUUUAAUGGGCUUAAAUGGCUGAGAUUAAAACAAAAAACUUAACACUUUUGUUAAACCUACACCGUUCAAGAUCAUUAAAAAUAAAUCAAACAUUUGGAUGACCUAACGAUCACCAAAUUUUCUAAAAAUUUACAAAAGUGAUCUACUCAUAUACACUAACAAACUGAACGGUGGAGAUGUGAUUUAGUGAUCGGGAAGUUUGUCAAAUACCCUAUCCCUAGAAAUAAACAAAAAAAGGGAUCCCUCAUUGAAAGGGCCCUGCAUAUAUAAAUAUAUAUAUACAGUCCUGUUCGAGAGCGGACGUCCGCACUUGGCUUAAAGUGCAAAAGUCCCUCCGUUCUCCUUCGUUCGGCGCCAAUGACGGCGCGCCUCUACCCCAGUGGACUCCAGCAGCGUUCCCGACCACUUUCUCUCUCCGGAGAGUCCGUUCUUUUCCAGUUUUCCGGCGAGAUCACCCAAAACUUCAAAUAAAGUCGAUCUCGCCUAAAAACUGAAAUUCGGCGAACUCGCCGGGGAAGAAAAGUGGUCGGAGACGCUGUCUGAAAUCCGCUGGGGUGGAGGCGUGCCGUCGUCGACAUCGGACAGAGGCAAACGGAGGGACGUCCACAUUUUAAACCGAGUGCGGACGUUCGCUUUGGAACCUUUCUGUGUGUGUAUAUAUAUAUAUAUAUAUAUAUUCUAAGUUUUAUUACUCAACGACUUAAUGAUUGAUCUUUCAGCUAUUUGGAGUCUUAUGGUAUCGUCUUGCUGUACAACGUUGUACAACGACAGAUAGAUUGUUGAAAACUCCUUUGUCAAGAAGUAAAAGGAUAUUCAUGUAGUUCAUCUAUCGAUGAUUUCAUAUGUUUUUACAACUAUGAAGAAAAAAACUACGAAGUGAGGACGAGCAAGGGCAAUAACAAUGGAAGAUGGAUCAACGUCACGCGUGUGCAAGAACUAUGCCCUACAAAAGCUGCAGAUCCAAAAAGUUUUGACUUUGGUAUAUUUUCUUAUGCUGUUCAAUCCGAUGUGACAGGUUCAUCCCAUCUUUCUCAAAGGAUGUCGCUAUCUUUCUGGUGGGCCUUAAGGAAUAUAAGGUUCGUUCAUCUAGUUAUAAGUUUGUGUUUGAUGAUAUAUAAUCUAUAUAUUGAGAGCGUUAUUAUCACAAUUAUUUUGUAAUGAUCUCUGCAAUGCAAUCCAAUUAUAAACGAACCGUUUGUUUCUUUUCUUUCAGUUCGUUUGGUUCAAACCUCUGCACGAGCAUGGAUGCGAUAGAAAUCUUAUUCUCAGUUGUAAUAUCUAUAUGUGGCAUGGCGCUUUUCUUAAUAUAUCUCAAUGCAAGAGUGCAAGUUGGUGCUGGAGUCAGACUUCAUAUAAAAUCAAAUAACUAGAGGCAACACAUCAUUAGCACUUAAUGAUCAUCACUAGAUGAAAACUAACAAGCACCUAUUGAUUUAAAUCGCAACUUCUUAGUGAGAAGCAAAUUGAUCAUGAGCGUUUGCCAAAAAGAAAAAAAAAAUCACGAGCAUGCAUGCAUAUAUCAGCAAGAUAUAUUUCUUUCAAGAAAUACUAAUAUCUUUUAGAGUAAGUAAUACUAUUAUGAACUCAUCUAUUGUUUUUGUUUGAUAUAUUUGGGAUGAUCAUGUAGGAGUCACAAGCAAGGCCAAAUCAACAUGAAUUGAAAGAAAGAAGAAAUUGAUGAAACCGGAUAUUGAUUUGUGGUUAUCUAAAAAUGAUCUCUCCAACUUGAAGAGUGACCAAGGACUCUAUGGAUCUGAAGUCAACGAUAAAGAAAAGACUCUGAAGAUGGUGAUCACUGAAAACAUAGACAAACUUGAUGAAAACAAAGACAUUGAUUUUGAAGGUAAAAGGUUGUUGGCAAUCCUUAUAUAGAACAAAACACAACCUAUGAAGCCUAAAGCAAUGAAGCCUAAAACAAUUGGAAGAUUGGUCUUCCACAUCUGAAGAACAAGUUGAAGAAGUAGAAGAACCAACAUGAUCUCAUGGAACUCAGGUAAAAUCAUGCAUAUGCAUUUCAUGGUUUUUCACAGAGGAUAGCAGUAUCACUUGCCAUCCUAAAAAUCUGGGUUUCCAGUUUUUUGAUCUUUUGUUCUGUUGUCUUAUGUUUAAGUUUCUUUAUCCUUGUUCCAUAAGAACUAUGUCUGGGGGAGAUUCUAAUUUGAAUUUCAAAUUGACAACUAGAAUAUAUAAAGAUCUUGCCUUUGUGGUCAAUUUAGUUUUGGGUUUGAUGCCUUUGUUCCAACCCGUGACUCAUGGUUUAAGAGUUCUAAGGCUACAGUUGUGUUUGUGAUACACAAACCAAUAUAACAGUUGUCUUUGUAUGUCCUCUCCCUUUCAGAGUUUGGCCAAGGACAAAAGUCCAAAACUCCUUCCUUGCUUUGGCCCUCGUGCUUGCCCUCUUGUGGCACCUCUUUGGCUUGUGUCUCUCUCUUGUUAGAGCACUCCAUCAGCCUAUAUAUACUGAGCAAGGCUGCCUUUGCUCAGUGGUUGUCAAAAUGUAGUUUCUACAUUUGCUUUGUUAGGUUUCUCCCUUUGUUGGGUUUUUGGUUUUACUUUGCAUUGUUCAUUAGUUUCUAAGUCUUCCUUUUGUGAUUAUAAACCUUAGAGCUGAACAAAACAUCUUCUCAUAAACUCAUUGCAUUCUGCAUACCAUGAGAUCAGUUGGUAGUGCAACAACCCAGGAAGUGUUCAUGAAAGAAGCAGCUGAGGAUAGCUGAGUUCUGAUGUAUCCCGCUGAGGUAGCUGGGUUCAUGAAAGAAUCAGUUCAGGAUAGCUGAGUUUCUGAGAGUGAAACUUCUUAGAAGUCUUCAAGAAGAAUCAGUUAAGUGAUAGCUGAGUUCUUAGUUGAAACUUCUUAUACCUUCAUGUGUAGCCACUUAGAGACAAGAGAGGUAGAUCUAGACUAGUUUGGGACUAGGUAGGAUAGCAAGUCGUUGCUGUAUCCUAUACUGUAAUCUUGUAAGGAGUGAGGUACUCAGAAACAAGAGAGAAAGUAUAGAUCUAGACUAGUGGGUAGUUUAGGCAGGAUAGCAAGCGGUUCAUGUAUCCCUAGACUAUAAUCUUGUAAGAAGUGGGUUUUACAUAGUGGAAAUGUUUGUCCCUCAAGAGUUAGGGGCACACAGUUUUUCUCCCUGGUUUCAGGGUUUCUGCGAGUAAAAAACAUCUUGGUGUUCAUUGUUAUUUUACUGCAACUUUUAUUCAUUGUCAUUGUGUAUUUGUUAUUCAGGAUAGCUAUAACCCUUGCUAUCCCUGAGAACGAAUUUAUACGAAAAAAGUUGUUAAGGGCCUAUUCACCCCCCCUUCUAGGACCUUUAGAUUUGCAGAAUAUCAUCUAUGUUCUUCCCAUAAAAUUCAAAAAGAACAUAACCCGUCUCCUCUGCUUGGCUUCACUAACGAAAGUGAGUAUUUUUGUUUUCUCGCUUAAAUGAUGCUUUAUAUGUAUGAACAUGUAACUAACUGAUUAUUACCGUAGAUGCCAAUGCUCGCAAAUUUGAAUGCCAAAAUUUUGAAAGUGAUUUGUGAGCAUUUGAAGCCAGUCGUUUACACUGAAGACAACUACAUUGUUCAAGAAGGCAAACCACUUGGUAUGAUGAUCUUCAUCACGCAAGGACUCGCAUGGAGCUACACAACCAAAAACAUCAAUGAUGGACUAACAAACUUUGAUUUCUCAAGCAAUGAGUGGUUAAAGUGGUUACACUGAAGGCAACUACAUUGUUCAAGAAGGCAAACCACUUGGUAUGAUGAUCUUCAUCACGCAAGGACUUGCAUGGACCUACACAACCAAAACAUCAAUGAUGGACGAACAAGCUUUGAUUUCUCAAGCAAUGAGUGGUUAAAGUAAGGUGAUUUUUACGGAGAAGAGCUGUUGAAUUGGGCAUUCAUAUCUCCCUCCUUUUCCGCCUUACCCUUUUCCUCUAGAACUGUUAUGUCUCAAGAAAAAGUCGAAGCAUUUUCUCUAAGGGCUAGGGACUUGAAGAGUAUUGUUUGCAAAUUCUGGUGGCAUUUUUACCAGAGAGCUCGAACAAGUAGAUUUAGAACGGUGGGAGAAUUCAGGAGCUUUUUCAAUACAAGCAGCCUGGCGCAACCGUUUGGCAAAGGGUAGGCGUUCAAAUCACUGGGACAAAUUUACUGCACAUUAUUAGUGUAUAUCAUGUAAGCAUUCUAGUAACUAUUGAAACAAAGGUUUUCACUUAAGUUAUUUUUAUUUUUAGUUGUUAGAAGGUUUAUUAUUAUUAUUAUUAUUAUUAUUAUUAUUAUUGAGUUGUUGUCUAGUGAGUAGUGACUCAUUUUCAUAUGUUUAGUUCGGAUUUCCAUGCAGUCAUUUCAGUCUUUCAGAUAUAGAGAUCCAAUAAUAAGGUUAAUAGCUUGUGCAUGUAUGCCAUUCCAAUCUAGAAUUAUCAACAUUUGAGUUGGAUUUCAAUGACUAGUUCUUUCAAAUCAUUUCAAAUAUAUUCUGUCAAAGAUAUGUUUUGUUUGUUUAAAAAAAGAAAAUAAAAAAUAAAAAAAAAAAAAAACCUUAGCCUUGUUGUGGACCAAAAUCUACAUGUUUGAGAUAAUUUCAUCCAGCCCAAAAUGUCCAGAUUUGAGAUCAUUUCCUCCAGCUGAAAAUGAUUUAUGUGGCUUAUCAAUAGUAUAUAUUCUGAAUAAUGCUGUUCUUCAGGUUUGGUAGAGCCCUCAUUAUAUCGUUCAGGAGAUGGAAAAACAUCAACUAGAACAACUUGAUGCAUUUUCCAGCUGAAAUGAAAUAAAAUUUUGAUACACCUAUGACAGUAUAGUUAGAACAAAAGACAUAAUUUAAUGCCAAUGAAAUUGUUAAAGCUAUAACCAGAUCCAUGACUUAUUACAGAAGAGUAUCACUAGAAGCUCACACAGACGGUUCAAAUUCACAAAAACAGUAGACCUUAGCAGUAGGAUUGGUCUCGACUCAGUCAGUUGGAGAUACAUGUGGUAAGCCAACAUUGAUCAUUAUUUUACCAGAGAGGGUUUGUGUCUUGUCAAUAGUACAUAGUCUGAAUAAAGCUGUUCCUCAGGGCUGGUGGCUGUUAAGAUAUAAAUCCUACAUCGGGAAUAUGAGACUUUGUCUGUGAGUUUAUAAGGGUUUGAGCCUCUUUAUCUAUUGCCAAUUGGUUUUGGAUGUGAACCCCAAAUUAUUUUAUCAUGGUAUCAGAGCGGGUUACCCACAUGGGCAGAUCUACGUUAGAGGCUAUAUAGGCUAUAGCCUAUACAGAUCGAAAUUGUCUCAGUACUUUAAAAUGUAUUUGUCCUACAUAUCAUGAAGUUUGAUUUGGUUGAAUUGGUUCAGUGUUUUGUUUAGAAACAACAUAAGCUGGGUUCGAGUCUUGCAUCUCCUCUUGCUUCUUCCUUUUUUCUUCUUCAUCCUUUCCCUUUUAUUUUCUUUCACCAUUUUUUUCUAUCUCUUUAUGAUUCAAGUAUCAUUUUAAUCUUCCUUUUUUCUGCUUCCUCCUUUCGUUUUUAUUUUUUUCCCCCAUUAUUUUCUAUCUCUUUAUGAUUAAUUCAUGGUAAUAUGAUAUCAUUUCGAUCAAAAAACACAAUCUUUGUAACAAUAUUGACUCAAAAAANNNNNNNNNNNNNNNNNNNNNNNNNNNNNNNNNNNNNNNNNNNNNNNNNNNNNNNNNNNNNNNNNNNNNNNNNNNNNNNNNNNNNNNNNNNNNNNNNNNNNNNNNNNNNNNNNNNNNNNNNNNNNNNNNNNNNNNNNNNNNNNNNNNNNNNNNNNNNNNNNNNNNNNNNNNNNNNNNNNNNNNNNNNNNNNNNNNNNNNNNNNNNNNNNNNNNNNNNNNNNNNNNNNNNNNNNNNNNNNNNNNNNNNNNNNNNNNNNNNNNNNNNNNNNNNNNNNNNNNNNNNNNNNNNNNNNNNNNNNNNNNNNNNNNNNNNNNNNNNNNNNNNNNNNNNNNNNNNNNNNNNNNNNNNNNNNNNNNNNNNNNNNNNNNNNNNNNNNNNNNNNNNNNNNNNNNNNNNNNNNNNNNNNNNNNNNNNNNNNNNNNNNNNNNNNNNNNNNNNNNNNNNNNNNNNNNNNNNNNNNNNNNNNNNNNNNNNNNNNNNNNNNNNNNNNNNNNNNNNNNNNNNNNNNNNNNNNNNNNNNNNNNNNNNNNNNNNNNNNNNNNNNNNNNNNNNNNNNNNNNNNNNNNNNNNNNNNNNNNNNNNNNNNNNNNNNNNNNNNNNNNNNNNNNNNNNNNNNNNNNNNNNNNNNNNNNNNNNNNNNNNNNNNNNNNNNNNNNNNNNNNNNNNNNNNNNNNNNNNNNNNNNNNNNNNNNNNNNNNNNNNNNNNNNNNNNNNNNNNNNAGUGCUUCUCAGCUGCGGACGUCCGCAUUUAUUCUUACGGUGCGGAUUUCCACUUUACACUCACUUUUCAAUCGAAUUUUCAUAUCUCCACCAUCUAGUAUUUAGAUACUGAUGUAUAGAUCAUCUCUGCAAAAUUUCAGCUAAUUUGGUUAUCAUUAAGGCACUCAAAACUAUAUUUUUCUGUUAUAAACAUGAACGGUUCAAGUUCGACAUAAUUAUGUUCAUCCACAGAAAAACGCAGUUUGAGUGCCUUAAUGAUAACCAAAUUGGCUGAAAUUUUGCAGAGAUGAUCUAUACAUUAGUAUCUAAAUACUAGAUGGUAGAGAUGUGAAAAUUCGAUUGAAAAGUGAGUGUAAAGUGGAAAUCCACACCGUAAGAAUUAAUGCGGACAUCCGAACUUGAGAAAAUCUGUAUAUAUAUUUUUAUAUUCUAGUCUAUGCCAAUUAUAGCUGGUCAUCAUCGAUCUAUAUAUUGACAUGGAUAUUCUAUUUGAAAAGGAUAAAAAGAAAAUAUACAAGAAUUUCUUAUUAACUCAACAGGGGAUGGUUGCAUGCAUGUGAAGGUGUGAAGCCAAGAUUUACUCUAUUAUCAUAGUAUCAUAGCGGAAUAACUCACCUGUAAAUAUCAUUUGAAUACUGAAUACAAGUUCUCAACAUAUAUGAGUUGAAUACAGGUUCUCACAGCCAGCUAGUUCCCUCCCCUAUUAAAACUAAAACUGUGUAUGCAUGUGACUUUUUUGUUGGGAGCUAGCUAUUUGGAAGCGAACAAUAAAUUUCCCAGACAGAACAUUUCGAAACUUCUUCAUAUAAAAUGGCAGCCUCCAGAUCAUCCGUUGAUUAAGCUUAAUUUCGAUUGUUCGGUUAGGGAUAGCUAGUAUUGUUGCGGUAGGCUUUGUUUCAAGGAACUCAGAUGGCAAUCCUAUUUGUGAUGCAGCUAGAAGAAUUAGGGACACUGACGUUCUGGUUGCUGAAGGCAUGAAGCUUCUGCUUUGGGGGAUGGACUACACAAUGCUGUUCUUCAAAAUAAUCCUCACAUACUCAUUAAGGGUGACUCCAAGCUCCUGAUCGAUUGUCUUAACAACAAAGCACGCGUGCCGUAGCGUAUUCAGUCCUCAGUUCAAGAUAUCCACGUAUUAGCUUCUCAAUGCCAUACUGUAAUCUUUCUACAUGUAUUCAUCGCGAAGGGAACUUUGUUGUAGACAAAUUGGCCAGCUUAGGUUAUAAUUUCAUCCUAUCUUUCUUUUUAGAACUCGACUUCGGUGACAAGGGCUGGUCACCACAGCUAAUGAACAUGAGACACGUGUCCAUUUUAAAAGGCUUGGCUGCAAUUUAAAGACAAAACAUGAAGGUUUUGGGUAUUUAACAUGUUUGUUUAUAAUUAUUGUUGACACUUGUUCAUUUCUUAUUGAUGUUUGUCAAUCAUAAGUGACCAUAGCUGGUCACCCAAGUUAUUUCCUUCUUUCUAUGUGUCUCUGUUCACUCCCCAGCGUUCCAAUAAUGAUCUGGGAAUGAAAGUAGCUAGUGACUUAGGUUAUAAUUUCAUCCUACCUUUGGUCAUCUCCAGUAAUAGAGGCUAUAUAGCCAAAUCCUAAAUUUUGGCCUUAUUUUGAUCUCCAAUUCCAACAAGAACUCAAAAGAGGACCAAAGGGCCAUAAAAAGAGCCAAACAUAGCCUUUUGGCUAGCCCGGGCUAAACCAAAUUGUGGUCUCAAAUGAAAUUAAAAAAACUAAAAGUAUGCAUGUUGGUUGAUUGAUGAAUACUCAAAUUAUAACAAUUGUCAACUUUCUAUUGGAUUAUUUCAUUCUCAUCUCAUUACAACCGGUAAAUUCUCUCAACCCAAAAUUCAUAUGGCUAAUAUUUUAUUUUAUUAACAUAAUAGUUAAUUUAAAUAUUAGUAAUUUGGUCCAAAUUCAAAUAAUGUUAUAAUAAAAUAAAUCUAUAAGUGAGAAAUUAUAUGGUAUCUAUCCGUAUGUGAUACAAUGUGACAAUAUAUUUGUAUUUAAAGUGAAAAAUAUUAAAAAGUAUAAUGUGAAAUCAUAAAAUAUUCAAAAGAGCUAAAAUUUGCCCCUCUUAUUAAAAAUCAUUUAAAAGUCUAUAAAUAAAAAAUAAUAUUUUUAAGAGCUAAAUUAUAACCCUGGCUCUAACAUAACCCUCUCCUGUUGGAGAUGGCCUUUUCUUUCUAUGUGUCUCCACGCAAAGUUAUUCAGUGCACCAAGGUUCAAGUGAACCAAUAGUCAGUGACCAAUCACAAUCAUUCAUUUAAUGUAGUCAAUGACAUGACUCUAACACCGAUGCUAACACCAUUAGAUAAUUGAGACCAAAAAAAAAUCUAACCAAUAUGGUAAAAAUAGGUAAGUUUACAAUAAAUAUUACAUGGACAAUUAAUUUCAAUAACAAUGGGAGAGGUUAUCGANNNNNNNNNNNNNNNNNNNNGCCUCCGGGACCUCCGAUCCCUUAUCACCCCGCUGACGCCGUCGAUUCUUACUGAUUGGCCAUCAAGCACUUCCUGCAACUCGAUGUCAUUCACUCACUCACCUUGAUUCUUACCGACUGCCUCCGAUCCGAGCUCGCCAAAAAUCCCUAGUCAUGGUCGUCCUCGUCGUCUUCUCUCCAGUCAGUACUCAGUAGUGUUAUAAUAAGAUAGGUAAUUGUAGUUUUACUACGUUUCUAUUUUUUUUGUGAAAGUUUGCUAACUUAAUAUUGAUAUAGUUCCGUUACCCUAUGUUAGCUGGUUCAAGUGCAUCGUGGUGCACUAAAUCCGCUCCGGUGUCUCCACUUCCCAGUGUUCCAAUUGAAUGAGCUCUGAAGGAAAGUAGCCAGGUGGUUUUCUGUCGUGGUGUUUCUUUUCUUUUUCGUACUUUAUCAAAAAGAAAAACAUAAAAGUUAAAGUAAUAUCUACAUUAUUGAAAAAGGAACAUGAUGAAUACAUUAUUGCAAAUCAGUACUACUUAUUUCAGACUAAAAAAAGAAAAGGCAGUUCUACUCGUCUCAGUUGUCUGUAUCCCACCAGAGUCUACAUCCCACCAGAGUCUGCAUCAGUGAUCAGUACCCCAGCCGCCUGUAAAGUAUACAUUGGACGUUAAAUUUGACUACGCACAGUUGAUCGAAUCACAAUCAUUAUAGAAAAUAUCUCUAUGGUGAAAGUUUUGCGAUAUUUUGAGAGGAGGUGGUGAAAGAUGGACCAGAAACAACAGUACGUACUACUGAAGGCUAUAGUGGAUGAGCAUGAUCUGAUUAUAGUUGGUAGAAGGUUUCAGGUGGAGUGCCCUCAGACUGCAGGACUUACAGAAUGGAGUGACUUUCCCGAACUAGGGACUAUGGGAGACCUACUUGCAUCACCUGAUCUAAAUUGUAAAGCUUCUAUUUUAGUGAUAAAACAUCAACAACAGAUCACUUAAUUGAAGCUUUUGCAGAUCAUGUUAAAUUAAUGAUUUUAGGAAUUUGGAAUUUUUGCACCUUUUUAAUUUUCAAAUUUGAUUUUUGUUUAUAUCUUUUCACGUAGCGCUUGAACUGAAAUUGAUAUUUCACGAAACUUCACUGGAUUUUAAAGUUCUAGAUGCCAAUUUCAGCUAAAUCGUUCAAUAUAUACUAGACAUCCAACUGGUUCUCUUGUCCAUCUUCAUGUCCUUGAAACUGUAACACACUACACUUCAUCAAAAAAAAAAACACACUACACCAAAACACUCCAAAAUUCAAAUUGUAGCUCUUGAAGGUGGUCUUGGCGUGUACGAAUGUAAUGCUGAAGAAGAAACAAAUAAAGAAGAAAAUCAAUAUAUGAAACAGAGGAUACUUAAUCCCAAAACAGGGUAAAUCCGGAGACCUUAGAUAACAAUAACAGUUCAGACUCACCUUUUUUUGUUUCAUAUUCCUCUUCUCAUAAAGCAAUGAUAUGCAUGUUGAUUUAUACUAGUGUUGCAACAUACCACAAAGAGUACGUCUUUGAUAAAGUAAUCUGGGUUUCAUAUCCAAAACACAUUGACAAUGGAUGGAGAGGCCCAAACCCUUAUAAACCCAUAUGUAAUGUCACAUAUUCCCGAUAUGUGAUUGAUAUCUCAACACGCCCCUGCACAUGUGGCGAAUUUUCAAGUAGACCUGUAAAUUAAUGGACCGGAUCUUGAUUCGGACCCGCUCUGGAUCUGUGGUUUUUAAACGGGUUUGGAUCAAAAAUUUGAUCCGUUAAAGACCCGGAUCCGUUAACCCGUAUAUUAAACGGAUCGAGGUUGUUCUGAUCCGUUAAGGACCCGGAUCAAUUUUAAAAUAAUUAAAUAUAUUUUAUAAAUAUAAUAUUACUGAUAAAUAUUAAAUAAAAUAAUAAUAAUUUGGAUAACCUAAGCAUCUAAAUUGCGUCUAAAGUAUGAUUUGAUGAAGUUGAAGGUUAUUGAUGCCUAUGUUCUUCUUAUUCUCUUUGCUAAAAACAUUGGAGGUCUAGUAUUUUGAUUAUAUUAGUUUAUUGUUAAGGAGUAUUUUAGCCAUGUAAUUCAACUUUUGAUGUAAACAUUUAUUUUGUUAUAAUAUUUCAUUAGUGUUUUAUGAAAAUUUAUGAUAAAAUUAAGAAAUUAUUAUUUAAAAUUUGAAAAUAUCUAUUAUUAUAAACGGAUCGAAUUAACGGGUUGGGUAUCCGUUAACCCGUCGGAUCCGGAUUUGGAUCGAGCUAUCAAUGAUCUAGUGGGUAACGGUUUAGAUCCGGAUCUAAGUCGAUCUGCUACAAAUCCGGUCCAUUUACUGGUCUAUUUUCAAGCCUAACACGUGGAGUUUGUGUGGCCAUUUGGGCUUCACACGUGGACGUGGGUAACCCGCUCUAAUACCAUAAAGUAGUCUGGGUUUCUCAUCCAAAACCAAUUGACAAUGAAUAGAGAUGCCCAAACCCUUAUAAACCCAUAAGGAAUGUCCCAUAUUCCCGAUGUGGGAUUAAUAUCUCAACAGUCUUUACUGGGAAAUACCCUACUGUACUGGUACUAGUUGUAACGAAGCGAGGAAAAAUUCUAAUAUACCAUAUGGUAUAGCAUGCCUCACAAAAUGUGUGGCUAUCAUUGAUUGAAGAAGCAACUAAAUUACCAUGUAAUGACCAUUUACCCUCUUCAAAAGCCCUCAUGUGUCAUACAAUUAGACACAUUUGCAAUAGACAUGCCAUACCAUAUGGUAUGAUAGACAUUUAGUGGUUGACCCAUGUCUCACAAAAUGUGUGUUAUCAUUGAUUGAAGCAGCAACUAAAUAAUCAUGUAAUGACCAAUAACCCCCUUCAAAAGCCCACAUGUGUCAUACAAUUAGACACAUUUGCAAUAAACAUGUCAUACCAUAUGAUAUGAUAGACAAUUUAGUGGUUGACCCAUCAAUUCCAAGUCUUCCUAGUUCCUUAAUAAGUUUUGCUACUGGUUAUCAUCUAUUCAAUGUCUUUGCUCUAUAAUACUGCUUCCUAUGAUCGAUAAGUCAGUCAUCUUUGGAAAACAACGUCAUGCCACUAGUCCCUAAUGGAAAGAGAAUGAUCAAAUUGAGUCACUUGUCGUUUGUAAGGAAGCAACAAGUCAACUAAAGAGUGCUCAUCUUGAUCAUAUAUUCUGUGGCUCGAAUGAACUUACAGUAUAAAACGAGGAUUAGUUAGUAUUAAGGACAAUGGUACGGGAAAUUGAAUUCAGUUCAUAUUCGGAAGCUAGAGUUGAUGCUGUUCUUCUGAUCCUUUUCGCAAAAUCCUCCUCUUUAAUCCAUAUCUGGCCCUCCCCACACUACCCUGCAACUUCAUUGAACUGAUGCAGCUAGCACAGUUAAAUCUCUCUCUCUCUCUCUCUGAUUAAUUUAUGAAAGGAAUAUAUAUGUCUUCACUGUUUAGCUGAGCUAUAUUAGAACUUGAUAAGUGUCUCCAACUGCCAGUUCCAUGUCCAUAUUGCAGGUUUAACGGUUAAUCCUCCAGACGAGAUUCUAUCUUUCAAAAUCUUGAGAUAUGAGCAGGCAGAGCAGCCAGAUCGAAAAUGUGUCAAUUGACUUACGGUUGGUUUCAUUAAGUUAAAGAAAAUCUAAACUUAAGUUGAUUUUUUUAAUAUAUAUAUAUUUUUUUAUUCCAUCAAUUUGAUGCUUAACAUGUCAUCGAUGCUUAACAAAAUCGAUGCUUAACAAAAUCUAAACUUAAUUAGUUGAUUGAUUAUAUUUUCAGAAAUCUAGAUGGGAUCGUUCUAGAUGGAGAAUCUGACAAGGAAAAUGGAGGAGACAGUAGCAGAAGGCCAGCGGUGGAGGACAUCCUUAAAAACCGUGAUAAGGCAAUGCAUAGAUGGAACACGCUCUUCAUCAUUGUCUGUGCAUUUGCGGUCUUCGUUGAUCCUUUGUUCUGUUAUAUCCAUGUCGUUGAGGAGGACUAUACGUGCUUCGAUUACGACUUCAACUUGUUCUGGAUAUAUUGUGGUUUACGAACAGCCUGUGAUGCAUUUUAUGUAAUCGACAUUAUCAUUUUCCUCUGUGGAAUUUGCAAGAAACGUAAAGGUAAGAUAUUUGUGUCAUGCGGGAAGCCAAGCAGUGAGAAAAAAAGGGCACUUCCAUUGAAAGAAAUAUUCAGGAAACGGUGCUUGCUUCCGUUAUCCAUUCUACCUCGGAUUUUGGUUUCCCUUCCCAUUCCAGCGGUAAGAGAACCCUAGCCUUUUCAAUAUACUAAUCAAACUUUACCUAUAAAUGGAUAUGGCCUGGGGUUUGCCAAAUAAAUAUGCUUAUUGUUCUCUGUCAUUGGAUUCAAAUCAUUCAAUUGUUACACAAUAAUUAGAUUUAACUUUUGGCUUAACUGAUUGCAGGUGCUCUUGGGCUUAAUAAUUUUUCUUGCCAGCAACUACGAAAUUUACUUGGAUCCAUUUUUUGUUAUUAUUAUUAUCACCCCUUUUCAGUACACACUACGGAUCUUUCUCAUCUAUGGAUCUCAAAGGUGGCGUCCUAUCAAAAAGACUACAAGAGGAAGAUGGCUUAAACCUUUAUUGGAUUUUCUUCCCUUCAUCCUUGCUUCUCAUGUAAUAAAUCAAUGGAAUAAGAAUAAAUAAUUUUAUUUUUCAAUGUAUAUUCUCAUUGUGAAAUCUCCCUACUCUCAUUCUCAAAAGAAUUUUCUUACUCAACAACUUAAUGAUUUGUCUUUCAGUUAUUUGGAGCAUUGUGGUAUCGUCUUGCUAUACAACGACAUAUAGAUUGUUGGAAGUCACACUGUCAAGAAUUAACAGGAAAAUCGUGUUGUUCAUCUUUUAAUGCUUUCGAAUGUGGGACGACGAUCAACGCCAAGCGUGUGCAAGAACUAUGCCCUACAAAAGUUGCAGAUCCAAAAAUCUUCGACAUUGGUAUAUAUUCUUAUGCUGUUCAGUCCAAUGUGACAUGUCGAUCAUCCCAUCUUUUGCAAAGGAUGUCGCUAUCUUUCUGGUGGGCUCUAAGGAAUCUAAGGUUCGUUCAUCUAGAGAUACAUAAGUCUGUUUUGAUGGUAUAUAAUUUAUAGAAAACAUUAUUAUCGAUCACAAUAAUUUUGUAAUGAGCGAUGGAAUCUAGUUAUUAACGAACCGUUUGUUUCUUUUCUUUUCAGUUCUUUUGGUUCAAACCUCAACACGAGCAUGGAUACGCUAGAAAACUUCUUCUCAAUUGUAAUAUCUAUAUGUGGCAUGGCGCUUUUUUUAGUAUAUCUCAAUGCAAGAGUGCAGGUUGGUGCUGGAAUCAGACUUCGAUCAUAUGACAUCACAUAAUUAGGGGGAACACAUCAUUUAGAUUUAGUACUUACUAAUCAUCAUUGGAUGAAAACUAACUAGCAGCUAUUCUUAAGAAGCAAACUGAUCAUGAGCAUUUUUUCCCAAAAAAAAAAAAAAACAAAGAUAACAAAGAUCAGGAGCAUGCAUGCAUACUGCAGCAAAAUAUAUUUCUUCCAAAAAAUUACUAAUAUCUUUUAGAGUAUUAUGAACUCAUCUAUUGUUGUUAUUUGAUAUAUCUGGAAUGAUUAUAUAUGUAGGAGUCACAAUCAAGGUCAAAUCAGCAUAAACUGAAAGAAAAGAAGCAAUUGAUGAAACCGGAUAUAGAUCUGUGGUUAUCUAAAAAUGAUCUCUCCCACGUGAAGAUAACGACCAAGGAGUCUAAGGAUCUGAAGACAACGAUGAAGAAAAAGACUCUGAAGACGGUGAUCAUUGAAAACAUAGACAAACUUGAAGAAAACAAAGACAUUGAUUUGCAAAAUAUCAUCAAUGUUCUUCCCAUAAAAUUCAAAAAAACAUCACCCAUCUCCUCUGUUUGGCUUCACUAACAAAGGUGAGUAUAUUUUUUGCUGCAAAUUUGAAGGGAAACUUUAAGAACAUGUAUGUAACUGAUUUUCAUCCUUAGGUGCCAACGGUUGCAAAUUUGAAUGCCAAAAUGUUGAAAGUGAUUUGUGAGCAUCUGAAGCCAGUCAUUUACACUGAAGACAACUACAUUGUUCGAGAAGGGAAACCACUUGGUAUGAUGCUCUUCAUCACACAAGGACUCGCAUGGAGCUACACAACCGAACACAUCAAUGGUGGACGAACAAGCUUUGAUUCUUCAAGUAAUGAGUGGUUAAAGAAAGGUGAUUUUUACGGAGAAGUGCUGUUGAAUUGGGCAUUCAAGUCUCCCUCCUUCUCUUCUUUACCAAUCUCCACUAGAACUGUUAUGUCCCAAGAAAAAGUUGAAGCAUUCACUCUAAGGGCUAGCGACUUGAAGAGUAUAGUCUGCAAAUUCUGGUGGCAUUUUACCAGAGAGCUCGAGCAAGUGGAGCUAGAACAGUGGGAGAAUGCAGCAGCUUCUUCAAUACAAGGAGCUUGGCGCAACCGUUUGGCAAAGGCUAGGCGUUCAAAUCGCUGGGACAAAUUUACCGCCCAUUAUUAGUGUAUAUUAUGUAAGUACUCUACUGAAACAAAGAUUUUCAUUUUGUAGUUAUUUUUAUUUUUAGGUGUUACAAGGCUUUUUCUUUUAUUUUAUUGAGUUGUUGUCUAGCGAGUAGUGACUCCUUUUCAUAUGUUUGUAUACAUGGAGUCCUCUCAGAUAUACAGAUCCAGUAAUAAGGUUAAUUGCUUGUUUAUACCAUUUUAAUCUACAGUUAUCAACAUUUGAGUUGGAUCAGAUGACUAGUUAUUUCAUGUUCAUAUCAAAUAUAAAUAUAUGCAUCUACUCAUUUGAAAUGACUCAUAGUGAGAGGACCUCGGCCCGCUUUUAAAAAAGUGUAUUGUUGAUAUGAAUUUGAUAUGAAUUUGAAAUAACUGAGUCAUUUCAUAUACUUCUGUCUUGUAGUUUGCUGUAUUCUGUUUCUUGAGCAAAACUUGCCAUGUUGUUAACCGAAAUCUGCAGAUUUGCCUUGUGCCCUUGUCAAUAAUAAUAUUCUGAAUACAGCUGUUCUUCAGGGCUGGUGGUGGGAAUUCGAACUUAAGCCCUCAUUAAAUUGUUUGGGGGAAAAGGAAAAACAUUUGCAGGAACUAGAAUAUCUUAUUGCAUUUUCCAGCUGAAAUGAAAUAUUACAAUUUUGAUAAACCUCAUGGUAAUAUAUUCAGAACAAGAUAAUAGUAUAAUGCCAAUGACAUUGUUAAAGCUACCAGAUCCAUGAGUUAUUACAGAAAAGAAUACCACUAGUAGCUCACAAUGACACAGUUCAAAUUCACAGGAUCACAAUGUUGUCACAUAAUAUAUCCUAUCCUAAUCUUUGACACUAAUCUACCGAUCCUAGAAACCUAGACCUUAGCAGUAGGGCUGGUCUUCACUCAAUCAGUCGGAGAUACACCUGGUAAGCCAACAUUGAUCAUUAUUUCACGUUUUCAACUACUAUAAAGCAAGGUGGUUUGGUGUCAAAGGCUUCACCUAGUUUAGUUUACCUGUUAUACACUGGCACAUAUGGUGCAAGAACUUAACUAUAACAUUCUAUAGCACAAAGAUAUUGUUCUUUGCAGUUUACAUAGUACUAGUUCACAGGUGUGGAACAAUAUCAGCAUGGACAGAAGCUAUUUCAGCUUCUUCUGCUAAAGUUAUUUCAGCUUUUUACUGAAGUCAGAAAGCUGAAGAAUCUGAAUACUGGAAAUACUAGCAGCUUCUUCCCUCUCUUUUUGUGUAUUGUACCCCCAAUCCCCUAAUCGAAAACACAAAUUAGCAACCAAAGAAAGUGAGUACCACAAAAUACAAAUCCACAAUAAUGCAAAGCAAACACAGCAAUGAUACUAAACCAUUUAGCAGUAUCUUGUAAUACUAAAGGGAGAAAGUAAAGAGGAAUUUUACCUAGAUAGAGAUUCCAACCAUUUAAUUCGGGUUCUCCGAUGACAUUCUUCAGGGUUGCCAGUCUAUCUUCCAAAAAGCUGGUAAAAGUUGCAUAAUUUUUCUCAUUCAGAUUAACUAUGAUAGAGUAAUGAGAAGGAGGAUAUCCAGCGUAGCAGUGCAGAAUUUAGUCAAAAGCUUCAAUAAUGGAGUCAAGAUCAUUAUAUUGGAACAUCUUCUACACUACUACUAUUAGAUAUUAAGUGGAAAAGUAUCUUACUGAAGUUUAAGCCCCUGAUGUUUCUUCUGAAGUUGCUUCAAAACUUCUACCUUUGGACUGCAAGGGGAUUAAAAAGUGAGUAUUGUUCUACAUCAUCGAAAGCAAGCCACAGGCAUAAGUGUGAAACUACCAAAUACAGACUAUCAUUAAGUUAUUAGACUAACCCAGAUCCUAGACCAAAAAUUCUAUCAGGCGGUAUUGUAACUCCUGCUAGUUCUCGCAAGAAAGCAUCAGCAAAUCGGCUCUGCAUAGAAAAGAAACAGAAACUAACAUUGUGGGAAAAUACCAGAAGGAAAAGUCUAAUCUACAAAGAAACUGAGCUAACUGCUCAUUAUGAAAUGUGUCAACGACCGACUACAGAGCUAACCGGAAUUUCAAUCACGUAACUCAAAUUGUAUCAGCACUAUCUUUCCCUGCUUUUGUCCUCUUCAUUUAGGGGAAAGUAAAAUUCACAAAAUACUCCAAUGUCAUAUCUAAUGCUUGGAUUAAUUGGUUACACACCUGUUUUGUGGUGACAACAUAUAUGGUAGAGCUUGUGAAUUUUAGAGCAUCAGGAACACCCGGAUAUAAUCUGCAAGCAAAGCCUCUCCCAUUCAGUCAUGAAAUAACAUUCAACUAUAAACCAAAACUAUGUUACCUAUAACUAAAUUAAACAAGCCUCCGAAUUUCGCUUCAGAUUGUUUGAUCAAGCAUUUCAAAUUGGGGGCACCUCACCUAUUUGCACCAAUCCAAGUUUUCAAGUCAUGGUCCAUCCACUCAUCCCUGACCUUCGCGAAAAAAAUCUAUAAGCCCAUCCCUGUCCUCACCCCAUUCCUCCAUAAUCACAGGCUUCAACUCUGACCACUUCUCCAAUAUCCCCUCCACUGUGAGCCCUUCACCGACUGAUGACUUCCUUAUAGAAGGAACCCUCAUCUCCAGAAGUAACCUCACAAGUAGAAGAUUCUCGUACCCGGUUUCCACCACAGGCCUCACCUAAUUCAUCAUCAUUCGUUUCUCCACAAUUAGACAAAUCAAAUAUUACAUGGGUUUUGUGUGAUUAAGCAUAUUACGGACUUACAAUGCGCAUUUGAUCAAGAACCCAAUUCUCCAAAGUUGAAUCCACACCGUUGAACAGAGCUGGCCAUCUGACUUUAGCAGCCUACAGAUUACCAUUCAAGGAAAGUAAACAAGUUGUGAAGUGAAAAGCUUGGGGGUUUUGGAAUGGUUUGAUCGAAGUCAAUACCUUCAUGGUAGAGAGAGAGCUCUCUCCGCAGCUAUCACAGAUGACUCCGUCGAAAUCCAAAGCGUAUAGAUCACCCAUUUCUGAGUCUCUAGCUUCUGUGUCUGACGGAGGGUCUUUGAGUUCAAAUGCUCCUACAGCUUCAAUUGGUCCCACGACGGCGUUUUACAGGAUGACACAGUUGUAUAUAUACUUUGCCUAAACACCGGAGCACACGUAACAACCUUAAUUAUAAGGAGGUUUAAAUUAUAGCCCAACAUACAUAUAGCCCCAUAUAUUUCACUUUGAUUAGUCGCAUUAGGAGUAUUAUAGUUAUUGAAGGGCGACAAAUUCAAGACCGUCUUUAUAAAUAUAUAAGUAUCUCCGCUCAUUUAUGAUAAACCAUCAUAUUUCAUCUUCUCAUACUUCUCUUUAAAUUUUUUUUAUAUACCGAUUUAAACGUCAGAGAGUAAAAUGUCAGCAACCAUAAUCUUCUAUUCUAACGCUAAUUUAAGGUGAAAGGUCAAAGAUGGUGAGCUUCCUGCAUUUCGGUAAUUAGCGGUAAAGCUCAACAGAGAAAGGAAAAAAAAAGGGUGAAAGUGUGUCACGGAACAACGACAGUGAUUAGUACAGUGACCAUAAGUGGCACUGUAAUAAUUGUCUAUGGUUUCGUCAAUUCUGCUAUAAGUGAGAAAGAGCGAACUAUAUGAGAAGAAAACGCAUGACACAAAAUAUUUGAUUUUUGGACCGAAACUUUAUUUCAAGGCUCAAACCACAUCGGCAAACCCGUAGAUGAUUUGCUAGGAUUUCGUAAGAACAUGUCCACCCCUAUGUCAAAAGCCUAACUUGGGACUUCAGCCACCUCAUUUUAUGACCCAGCUUCAAAAAUUGCAUAUCCACCCAUGAAAAAUAAUCUAUGAUACGAUCUUAACUUAAUUAUGCAUUAUGAACUUAUUAAUUUGUUAUUGAAUGAUGUGUAGAGUCACAAACAAGGUCAAAUCAGCUUAAAUCAAACGGAAAGAAGUAUUUGAUGAAGCCGGAUAUAGAUUUGUGGUUGUCCAAAAAUGGACUCUCUAACUUGAAAUCCAUGACCAAGGACUCCAGGGACCUGAAGACAAUGGCCAAAAAGAAGGCUAUAAAGACGGUGAUCAUUGAAAACUCAGCCAAACUUGAAGAAAACAGAAGUAUUGAUGUGCGGAACAUCAUUUCUAUCAUUCCUAUAAAAUUCAAAAGAAGCAUCGUCCGCCUUCUCUGUAUGGUAAGUAUUUACAUGAAUCUAUUAUCCUUCAGCACUCAAAGAUGUUAAAGUAUCAACUACUGAAUUAUAUCAACACAUAGGUUCCAAUGCUUGAAAAUUUGAAUGAAAUAAUGUUGAAAGUGAUUUGUGAGCAUUUGAAGCCAGUCAUUUACGCUGAAGACAACUAUAUUGUUCAAGAAGGCAAACCACUUGGUAUGAUGAUGUUCAUCACACAAGGACUUGCAUGGAGCUACACAACCAAAAACAUCAAUUGUGGACGACCAAGCUUUGAUUCCUCAAGCAAUGAGUGGUUAAAACAAAGUGAUUUUUACGAAGAAGAGCUGUUGAAUUGAGCAUUCAAGUCUCCCUCUUUUUCUGGCUUACCCUUUUCCUCUAGAACCAUUAUGUCUCGAGAAAAAGUCGAAGCGUUUGCUCUAAGGGCUAGGGACAUGAAGAGUAUAGUUUGCAAAUUCUUGUGGCAUUUUACCAAAGAACUCGAACAAGUGGAUUUAGAGCGGUGGGAGAAUUCAGCAGCUUCUUCAAUACAAGCAACCUGACACAACCGUUUGGAAAGGGCUAAGCAUUCAAAUCGCUGGGACAAAUUUACCACACAUUAUUAGUGUAUAUUACGUAAGUACUACUAAAACAAAGGCUUUUCACUUUAUUGUUAUUUUUAUUUUAGGUGUUGCAAGACUUCUUUUUUUUUUUAAUUGAGUUGUUGUCUAGUGAGUAGUGACUACUUUUUAUAUGUUCAGUUUCCAUGGAGUCAUUUCAGAUAUAGAAAUCCAAUAAUAAAGUUAAUAGCUUGUGUAUACCAUUCCAAUCUAGAGUUAUCAACAUUUUCAGUAGUUGGAUUUCAGAUGACCAGUUAUUUCAAAUUCAUAUCUAAUAUAUUGCAUCUACUCAUUUCAAUUACCUUAUGUCUAGUAGUUUGCUAUAUUCUGUUUCCUGAACAAAACUUGCCUUGUUGUUAACCAAAAUUUGCAGAUUUGGGAUCAUUUCAUCCAGCUGAAAUGGUUUUUGUGUCUUGUCAAUAGUAGUACAUAGUCUGAAUAAAGUUGUUCCUCAAGGCUGGUGGCUGUUAAGAUAUAAAUCUCAUAUCAGGAAUAUGAGACUUUAUAUGUGGGUUUAUAAGGGUUUGAGCAGUUUCAUCUAUUGCAAUUGGUUUUGGAUGUGAACCCCAAACUACUUUAUAAUGGUAUCAGAGAGGGUUAUCCACGUCCACAUGUGAAGCCUAAAUGUCACACGAACUCCAUGUCACCCUAAAUGUUGUCUACGUGUUAGGCUUGAAAAUUCCCUACACAUGCAGAUAUAAAUCUCAUAUCUGGAAUAUGAGACCUUGUCUGUGGGUUUAUAACGGUUUGGACCGUUUCAUCCUUUGCCAAUUGGUUUUAGAUGUGAACCUUAGACUACUUUAUCAGUGGCGUCCUCAUUAUAUCAUUUAGGAAAAAGGAAAAGCAUUUGCAUGAACUAGAACAUCUCCUUGAUGUAUUUUCCAGCCUGAAAAUAUUCAGAAUUUAAAUGAGAAAUUACAAUUUUGAUACACCUAUGGUAAUGUAUUCAGAAUAAAAUAGAUAAUUUAAUGCCAAUGAAAUAGUUAAAGCUACAACCAGAUCCAUGAAUUAUUACAUAAUAAUAUCUCUGGUGAAAGGUUUGCGAUAUUUUUAGAGGAGGUGGUGAAAGAUGGACCAGAAACAACAGUACGUACCACUGAAGUCUAUAGUGGAUGAGCAUGAUCUGAUUAUAGUUGGAAGAAGGUUUCAGGUGGAGUGCCCUCAGACUGCAGGACUUACAGAAUGGAGUGACUUUCCCGAACUAGGGACUAUGGGAGACCUACUUGCAUCACCUGAUCUAAAUUAUAAAGCUUCUAUUUUAGUGAUAAAACAUCAACAACAGAUCACUUAAUUGAAGCUUUUGCAGAUCAUGUUAAAUUGAUAAUUUUAGGAAUUUGGAAUUUUUUCACCGUUUUAAUUUUCAAAUUUGAUUUUUGUUUAUAUCUUUUCACUUAGCGCUUGAACUGAAAAGGAUAUUUCACGAAACUUCACUGGAUUUUAAAGUUCUAGGUUCCAAUUUCAGCUAAAUCGUUCAAUAUAUACUAGACAUCCGACUGGUUCUCUUGUCCAUCUUCAUGUCCUUAAAACUGUAACACACUAUACCAUUACACUUCCAAAAUUCAACUUGUAGCUCUUGAAGGUGGUCUUCCCGUGUACUAAUGUAAUGCUGAAGAAGAAACAAAUAAAGAAGAAAAUCAAUAUAUGAAACAGAGGAUACUUAAUCCCAAAACAGGGUAAAUCUGGAGACCUUAGAUAACAAUACAGUUCAGACUCACCCUUUUUUGUUUCAUAUUCCUCUUCUCAUAAUGUAAUGAUAUGCAUGCUGAUUUAUACUCGUGUUGCUUACUGGUCGAUCACGUUGCAAAACUACAUACCACGAACAAUACGUCUUUACUGGGAAAUACCCUACUGUACUGGUACUAGUUGUAACGAAUCGAUGGAAAAUUCUAGUAUACCAUAUAUUAUAGCAUGUCUCAUAAAAUGUGUGUUAUCAUUGAUUGAAGAAGUAACUAAAUGAUCAUGUAAUGACCAUUUACCCCUUUCAAAAGCCCACAUGUGUCAUAUAAUUAGACACAUUUGCAAUAGACAUGUCAUACCAUAUGGUAUUAGACAUUUAGUGGUUGACCCAUGUCUCACAAAAUGUGUGUUAUCAUUGAUUGAAGCAGCAACUAAAUAAUCAUGUAAUGACCAUUUACCCUCUUCAAAAGCCCACAUGUGUCAUACAAUUAGACACAUUUGUAAUAAACAUGCCAUAUCAUAUGGUAUGAUAGACAAUUUAGUGGUUGACCCAUCUAUUCCAAGUCUUCCUAGUUCCUUGAUAAGUUUUGCUACUGGUUAUCAUCUAUUCAAUGUCUUUGCUCUAUAAUACUGCUUCCUAUGAUCGAUAAGUCAGUCAUCUUUGGAAAACAACAUCAUGCCACUAGUCCCUAAUGGAAAGAGAAUGAUCAAAUUGAGUCACUUGUCGUUUGUAAGGAAGCAACAAGUCAACUAAAGAGUGCUCAUCUUGAUCAUAUAUUCUGUGGCUCGAAUGAACUUACAGUAUAAAACGAGGAUUAGUUAGUAUUAAGGACAAUGGAUACGGGAAAUUGAAUUCAGUUCAUAUUCGGAAGCUAGAGUUGAUGCUGUUCUUCUGAUCCUUUUCGCAAAAUCCUCCUCUUUAAUCCAUAUCUGGCCCUCCCCACACUACCCUGCAACUUCAUUGAACUGAUGCAGCUAGCACAGUUAAAUCUCUCUCUCUCUCUCUCUCUCUGAUUAAUUUAUGAAAGGAAUAUAUAUGUCUUCACUGUUUAGCUGAGCUAUAUUAGAACUUGAUAAGUGUCUCCAACUGCCAGUUCCAUGUCCAUAUUGCAGGUUUAACGGUUAAUCCUCCAGGCGAGAUUCUAUCUUUCAAAAUCUUGAGAUAUGAGCAGCCAGAUCGAAAAUGUGUCAAUUUACUUACGGUUGGUUUCAUUAAGAACCUGAUAACCCAAAGAAAAUCUAAACUUAAGUUGAUUUUUUUUCAAAUAUUUUUAUUCCAUCAAUUUGUGCUUGACAUCUCCUUGCCUGCGCCAAUAAUUGUACUUGACAUGACCUGGUCUGUAAUAAUGGGAGUCUUCAAAACGUCCUCUUCCAUGAUUGUAGCCACGACCUCUUCCUCUAGUUGGAAACGUGGUGUCUACACUUCUAUCAUCUUCAUGUUGAUUGCUUGAUGAGCCUCUUCCAAUUCCUUGAAAAUUAUUACCUCUUCCACGAGAAUUAAAACCACGUCCUCGUCCCCUUGCUCGACCAGCACUUCCAUUCCAACGUUGAAAUCUGUGAGCAUGAUUCCAAUUGCCUCCCGUGGAUGUGACUUAGGACUUGAGUGCCUGAUCAGGUUGAGAAGAGGCAGAGUUCCUCUUAUUAAUCAUGAACUCAUGAGCUUCCAAUCUUCCUUGCAAGUCAUCCAAACUGAGAGUAGACAAAUCUGUUGACUCUUCAAUAGCAGCUUCAACAUAGUCAAACUUCGGUGUCAGACUCCGAAGAACUUUUUCAACCACCCUUGCAUCUUCUAAAAUCUCCCCAUUUGAUGCCAUUUUAUUAACCACAGAAUUUACUCUGGUAAAAUACUCCCUUAUGCUUUCUGUCUCCUUCAUCUCCAACUUUUCGAACUCCGAUCUUAGAGUUUGAAGACGAACCAUUUUCACCUUCUCUUUGCCUUUGUAGGCUGCAUGAAUGAUGUCCCAGGCUUCCUUGGAGGUCUCAGCUUGAGCAAUUCUUUCAUACACAGACUCUUGAAUUGUCUGGUAAAUAUAGAAAAGCGCCUUGCUAUCCUUCUUUCGAUUCUCCUUCAAAGCAUUCCUCUGUUGUUGUGUUAAUGCACCUUCAUUCUCCGGUUCGACGUAUCCUUCUUCGACAACGUUCCAUAUCUCCAGGGACUUCAACAAUACGUUGACAUUCUUGCUCCAAUAAUCAUACUUCUCACCAUUGAAACGAGGAAUGAGUGAUAGCAUAUUGGAGUUGUUUUCAUUCGCCAUAGGAGCAGCACGAGCCUCUACAGCUCUGACACCAGAAUGUAGAAGGAAGAGAACAGAGCAAGUGUUUUGGAAAUGAGUUCUUAUUGAAUACUUCUACUCUCUCUUAUCUCAAACAGCAAGAUUACAUAGACUUAUAUAGGAACAAGACCUGACUCUAUAACUUCUUAACUUACCAAGACAUUAAACACCCACUUCAUGCUAAUGAAGAUGAAAAGACUCAUAACAGUUGAAACUGAAAAUACUGGAAACUAAAAGAUUAAAAACUGACAGCAGCCUUAUUCUAGGAAAACAAACCAGCAAAUUUGGUUUAAUUAGCCAACAUUCUGCUGGUUUAUUUGUGACUCAACGAAAGUAUGCUCAAGAUCUUCUUCAUAAGUCUGGAAUGGAUGAUUGCACUAUUUUCUCUACUCCUUGUAAGUCUGGCUUGAAGCUUGUCAAAGAUGAGGGCGUUCCUUUACAGACUCAUGAAAUCACUCAGUUUAGGAGUUUGGUUGGAUGUUUACAGUAUUUGACCUUCACAAGGCCUGAUAUUACCUAUGCUAUUAACUCAAUGUGCCAAUUUCUUCACUCUCCAACUCAAAUCCAUCUUUAUGCUGCUCAAAGAGUCUUGAGAUAUGUCAAAGGAACUAUUUCACAAGGGAUUCAUUUCAGAAGAGGUGUUAAUGCUAGUCAGCAUGACUCUUUUCCUUCUUCUCUUAAUCUUUCAGCCUUUUGUGAUGCAGACUGGGCAGGUGAUCCAAAUGAUCGAAAUCCACUACUGGAUUUGUCAUUUUGCUCAAUCAAUCUCCAAAAUCUUGGUGCAGUAAGAAACAAACAGCUGUGUCUAGAUCUUCUACAGAAGCUGAAUACAGAAGCAUGGCUGACACUACUUCUGAAAUCAUGUGGCUUAAACUUCUGCUUAAUGAUCUUCAUGUUUCACUUUCUGAUGUUCCAGUUCUUCACUGUGAGUCUGUGACAACAUCUCUGCCUUGGCUUUAGCCACUAAUCCAGUCUAUCACUCAAAAUUGAAGCAUAUUGAAGUUGAUGUUCAUUUUACUCGCAAUGCAGUCAAAGCGGCUCAAUCAAGUUGCAGUUUGUCACUUCCAGAAAUCAACUUGCAGACCUAUUCACAAAAGGCCUAUGUUCUCCUCAACAUCUUCAUCUCUGCUCCAGCUUGAUGCUUCUUACCAAUCAUCAAUCUGAGGGAGGAUGUUAAGAUAUAAUGGUCUUCAGAUUAUUUAGUCUUAAGCUUGUCUUAGCUGUUGAUUAAUCUUUUUGUUAAGCUCAUAAUGAGCAGCAGAUAAGAGCCACGUGUUGUUCAUGUGUGGUGCUUAUUGAUCCUAUAUAGGCUAUCUGUAACUCUCUUUGUUCAAUUAACCAGGAACCGAGAUAGUUUUCUCUGUAUUUUACUCCCUUCUUCUCUAAGCUAGUAUUAAGGACAAUGGAUACGGAAAAUUGAAUUCAGUUCUUAUUCUGAAGCUAGGAUAUUGAUGCUGUUCGUCUGAUCUUUUUCGCAAAAUCCUCCUCUUUAAUCCAUUAUUAAGAGUGAAUGUCAUUUUCAGACCUUUUCUUUUGUCUAAAUUAGCGAGUCUAAUCUUGGUUUAGGCUAAUGCAUGUUUAAUCCUAUAUUGGCCUUUCAGCUCAGCUCACGUGCUAGUUGUACUGUAGCUCUCAGCUCCUAUAUAUAUAGUUUGCGAUGUAACCCUAGAAGGGUAGAACAGCCAGCCUUUGUAUCUUCUUUUUCAUUCAAUAUAUCAAGUUUUCAUUUUUUUCAAACCUUUCAAUCUAUUUUUCUAUCAUCCAUAUCUGGCCCUCCCACACUACCCUGCAUAGUUAAAUCUCUCUCUCUCUCUCUGUGAUUAAUUUAUGAAAGGAAUAAAUAUGUCUUCACUGUUUAGCUGAGCUAUAUUAGAACUUGAUAAGUGUCUCCAACUGCCAGUCCCAUGUCCAUAUUGCAGGUUUAACGGUUAAUCCUCCAGACGAGAUUCUAUCUUUCAAAAUCUUGAGAUAUGAGCAGCCAGAUCGAAAAUGUGUCAAUUGACUUACGGUUGGUUUCAUUAAGAACCUGAUAACCGAAAGAAAAUCUAAACUUAAGUUGAUUUUUUUAAUAUUUUUAUUCCAUCAAUUUGAUGCUUAAAAUGUCAUCGAUGCUUAACAAAAUCUAAACUUAAUUAGUUGAUUGAUUAUGUUUUCAGAAAUCUAGAUGGGAUCGUUCUAGAUGGAGAAUCUGACAAGGAAAAUGGAGGAGACAGUAGCAGAAGGCCAGCCGUGGAGGACAUCCUUAAAAACCGUGAUAAGGCAAUGAAUAACGAAAAUUCUUCCAUUCACCUCGUGAAAAUUCACCAAGUGACGUGGCACAAGCACAGCCACAUAUUUAAGUGUAGAUUGAAAUUUGACUAACUUCAACUUUCUUCCGGUUAACGUGUGUUUGAACCUAGGAAUUUGUGAGUCGGAGAGGUAGAAAGAAGGGGGUAAAAUCUGCAGCUCCCGGCUCCCUGGGUUAAAAGUCUAUUUCUGUGUCGACGUCGAUGACUUAGUCGAUGGAGGAUGUCGGAGCUGAAAACACCCGCCGACCAGCACACCAUGUAGGCGGCGAUGCUAGCGCGCAGCCCCCGGCGCAUACCCGAAAAGACUCGCUCCGGCGACGAUGGACCCGGCCGCAGAUAUGGUCCGUCCUUGUGGAGGUGUAGGUUUGGGUGACGAACAAAAAAAAAAAUUUGAUUUGGGUGUGAACAGGAAGAACAACACCAGAGUUUGGGGAUAAAGAUUGGGGAUUGUUAAAGAAGCAAAAUCAGAAAAUAAAUUGAGGGUUUUAGGAGGUGAGGUAAAAUCAAUCUAAAUGGACUGGGGAAAGAGACCAGAUGAUGUUCUCAGCCAUAUAGAGUUGGAGGUAGAUUAGAGAAGAUGAUAGAUCUUCACCGUGAGCCAUUCACACACUCUUUUUGGGCAGAUUGGGUCUAGUCUAGAGAUUGGGCCCGAGAAUUCUUUUUGGGCUAGGGUAUUGGUUUUUAUUUAUUUUUUUAUUUUAGUUUUUUUUAUUUUAGACUUUUGGGUGUGUGUAUAUAUAUAUAAUUUAACGAAUUGUUCUGUCACCUAUAAAAAAAACAUCCAACAGUUUUUUUUUCGAUAAAAAAAAUGGAAUGAACUCUGUUUUUACCUUUAGAUUUAGUUGUUAAGGUUUAAAUGUAGUAAUGUACAUCUUAGUGACAUAAAAAUAGAAUUGUAAAUUUUGAAAAAUCAGCCGUUAGAUGUGAUCGGUAGAGUAAAAUACGGCUACGGUAAAAAAAUCACAUAUUUUUGAUAAAUUCUGGGAAACCUUAGAUGUGAUGCGGUCAACCCUAUUUACGUUUUUGUUUCCCUAUGGGAAACCUUAUUAUGGGAAGGUAAACCUCCCUAAAUUUUUAUAUAGGCUACUGCAUCUCAUGUAUGUGAGAGUGUGUGAGCAGAAUAAUCGACCAAAAUAAGUCACAAAAAGGUAGGUAAUAGUGUUUUCGUGUAAUAAGUGACAUUGAUUUAGGGUUGACCGCGUCGAUCAAUGCCCAAACGUUAUCGAAAAUAGGUGAAUUUUGUUUAUUUGACAUGUUUAAGUGUACUGAUUACACCUAACGGUUGAAUUUUCAUUUUGUGAAUUUUAGUCAUUUGAACCACAACAUAUCUAUUAAUGUGGUAUAAUUUGUUUAGUGUGUUAUAUGUAAGUGUACAUCUUUAUGAACUAACUAUAACUAGAAAAUAAGAUUUUAAAAAAUCGACCGUUAGAUGUGAUCAAUAUAGUGAAAUACGGCUACGGUAGAAAAAUCAUAAUUUUUGGAUAAUGUUUGGGUCCCGAUCGACGCGGUCAACACUAAUUACGUUUAUGUGUCCCUAUGGUGAGCCCUAUCUUCGGGAGGUAAUCUUCUCCUAAUUUUUAUAUGGGCUGCUACAUCUCAUCUAUGUGAGAGUAUGUAGGUCGAAUAAUCGACCAAAAUAAGCAACGAAGGGAUAUGUAAGAGCGUUUUCGUGUAAUAAGUGACGUAAGUUUAUAAUUGACCACGUUGAUCGAGACCCAAACCUUAUCGAAAAUAAGUGAAUUUUUUUCUAUAUACAUAUUUUAAGCAUACUUAUCACAUCAAACGGUUGAAUUUUCAUUUUAGGAAUAUUUGUUAUUGGAACCACAAUAUGCCUACUAAUGUGGUAUAACUUGUUUAGUGAGUUAUAUAUAAGUAUAUAUCUUUUGAACCAACUAUAUCUAGCAAAUAAAAUUUUUAAAAAUCGGCCGUUGGAUGUGAUCGGUAUACUGAAACACGGCUAUGGUAGAAAAUUCAUCCGUUUUUGUCAUUGUUUGAUUCUCGAUCUAGUGGAUACUACUUUGGUCAACCUAUUAGUUUAUAAACAUUCUUAAAUUUGACUGAAAAGAUUAAAGCCCAAAAAUGAGCGAAAUUUCAUAAUUUUUUUUCCCAAAGUUGAUGGUAUCAUUCUCAUAUCAUCCAAUGGUUGGAUUAUCCUAAUUCAAACGUGUUAGUGGUGUUCAUCUUAAAAAAAAAUACCAAUUAAGUUGAAAAAGAUAGUAUAAUCAGAAUCUAAUGAAUAGUGAAACGGUGUCAUUUCUUUUUUUAAAAAAAUAAAAAGAAGAAGGAGACGACUUGUAGGGUUUGACUUGAGAAACAACCCACUUGUACGUUUAGGAAAUAUAUUUGGCCGCCUCCCCUCCACAAUUGACCAAGAACAGCACUGCCGCAUGCCCGCAUUCAAUUGAUUUUGUCAACUACUCGGUAUGAGUUUCUUCCUUUCAUUCGAAAUCUAGCUUUCCGUUGUUACAUUGUAUUCUGUAUAACUGAAGUUCUGCAAAAUCUUUUGGUAGUUUAUCUCUUUUGCAGAUCUCCAAAGUCGUUGGUUUCAUGGAUGAUAAUGGCUUGCGGUUUUCAGAAUCUAAUUAUACUGAAAUCAACAAAAAUCCAACUUACCCAUUAGAAUUUCAUGACCAGAUUCCAACUUUCGGGUGAUUCACCAGAUUCCAACUUACCCAAAAUCUCAACGUUUCGUAAAUUGCAUCUACAGAUGAUGAAUUUCCGACGACGCUCGAAAAUCGCCGAACAACAUAAAUUCGAUAUGUUGCCCAAAUUCGAUUGCCCUGAAGGCUCUGCUUUGCCUUUUUUUUUUUUUCGUUUGUUUGGAGGCUUGCUCUGUGUUUGGAGGCUAGUUGGUGUUUGUUUUAAACCGAUACCCUAUUGUAACUCCUUUUUACCAUAACUUGAUCGUUGCCUUUUUUUUUUCCAAGCACAGUCUGUUAGCCACGCGCUGUUAAUACCUCCGUUGGUAAAGCAUCACUAUGUGAGCUGAAGAACCUCCGAAUGAAUAAAUGGAACACGCUCUUCAUCAUUGUCUGUGCAUUUGCGGUCUUCGUUGAUCCUUUGUUCUGUUAUAUCUAUGUCGUUAGCGAGGACGAUAUGUGCCUCUCUUACGACCGGAAGUUGUUCUACACAUAUUUUGGUUUACGAACAGCCUGUGAUGUCUUUUAUGUAAUCGACAUUAUCAUUUUCCUCUGUGGAAUUUGCAAGAAACGUAAAGGUAAAAUAUUUGGUGCAUGCUGGAAGCCAAGCAGUGAGAAAAAAAGGGCACUUACCUUGAAAGAAAUAUUCAGAAAACGGUGCUUGCUUCCGUUAUCCAUUCUACCUCGCAUUUUAGUUUCCCUUCCCAUUCCAGCGGUAAGAGAACCCCUAGCCUUUUCAAUAUACUAAGCAAACUUUACCCAUAAAUGGAUAUGACCUGGGGUUUGCCAAAUAAAUAUGCUUAUUGUUCUCUGUCAUUGGAUUCAAUUGUUACACAAUAAUUAGUUUUAACUUUUGGCUUAACUGAUUGCAGGUGCUCGUGGGCAUGUUCUUUCUUUUUUUUUUAUCAAGUUUCAAAUUUUCAUCGAUCCAUAUUAUGCUACUAUUAUUAUCACCCCUUUUCAAUAUACACUACGGAUCUUUCUCAUCUAUGGAUCUCAAAGGUGACGUCCUAUCAAAAAGAGUACAAGAGGAAGAUGGCUUAAACCUUCAUUGGAUUUUCUUCCCUUCAUCCUUGCCUCUCAAGUAAUAAAUCAAUGGAAUAAGUGUAAAUAAUUAUAUUUUUCAAUGUAUAUAUAGUCUAGCUCAUUACGAAAUCUCCCUACUCUCAUUCUCAAAAAGAAUUUUCUUACUCAACGGACAACUUAAUGAUUUGUCUUUCAGUUAUUUAGAGCCAUGUGGUAUCGUCUUACUGUACAACGACAGAUAGAUUGUUGGAAGCCACACUGUAAAGAAAUUAGAGGUUCAGAGUGUGAUUUACCUAUUGGUGAUUUCAUAUGGUCAAUGCCGAUUGAGGUCAACACCAUGCGUGUGCAAGAACUAUGCCCUACAAAAGUUACAAAUCCAAAAAUCUUCGACUUUGGUAUAUAUUCUUAUGUUGUUCAGUCCAAUGUGACAGGUUCAUCCCAUAUUUUGCGAAAGAUGUCGCUAUCUUUCUGGUGGGCUCUAAGGAAUUUAAGGUUAGUUCAUCUAGAGAUAUAUAAGUCUAUUUUUGAUGGUAUAUAAAUUAUAGAAAAUGUUAUUAUCGAUCACAAUAAUUUUGUAAUGAGCGAUAGAAUCUAAUUAUUAACGAACCGUUUGUUUCUUUUCUUUUCAGUUCUUUUGGUUCAAACCUCAACACGAGCAUGGAUACGCUAGAAAACUUCUUUUCAAUUGUAAUAUCUAUAUGUGGCAUGGCACUUUUUUUAGUAUAUCUCAAUGCAAGAGUGCAGGUUGGUGCUGGAAUCAGACUUCGAUCAUAUGACAUCACAUAAUUAAGGGGAACACAUCAUUUAGAUUUAGUACUUACUGAUCAUCAAACUAACUAGCACCUAUUCUUAAGAAGCAAACUGAUCAUGAGCAUUUUUUACCCAAAAAAAAAAAACUAGACCAGGAGCAUGCAUGCAUAUAUACUUCAACAAGAUAUAUUUCUUCCAAGAAUUAGUAAUAUCCUUUAGAGUAUUAUGAACUCAUCUAUUGUUGUUAUUUGAUAUAUCUGGAAUGAUCAUAUAUGUAGGAGUCACAAUCAAGGUCAAAUCAGCAUAAACUGAAAGAAAAGAAGCAAUUGAUGAAACCGGAUAUAGAUUUGUGGUUAUCUAAAAAUGAUCUCUCCCACGUGACCAAGGACUCUAAGGAUCUGAAGACAACGACGAAGAAAAAGACUAUAAAGACAACGAUGAAGAAAAAGACUUUGAAGACGGUGAUCAUUGAAAACAUAGACAAACUUGAAGAAAACAAACAAAUUGAUUUGCAAAAUAUCAUCAAUGUUCUUCCCAUAAAAUUCAAAAAAAAAACAUCACCCGUCUCCUCUGUUUGGCUUCACUAACAAAGGUGAGUAUAUUUUUUGUUUUCUCUCUCAAGGGAAACUUUGAGAACAUGUAUGUAACUGAUUUUCAUCCUUAGGUGCCAACGCUUGCAAAUUUGAAUGCCAAAAUGUUGAAAAUGAUUUGUGAGCAUCUGAAGCCAGUCAUUUACACCGAAGAUAACUACAUUGUUCAAGAUGGGAAACCACUUGGUAUGAUGUUUUUCAUCACGCAAGGACUCACAUGGAGCUACACAACCGAACACAUCAAUGGUGGAAGAACAAGCUUUGAUUCUUCAAGCAAUGAGUGGUUAAAGAAAGGUGAUUUUUACGGAGAAGUGCUGUUGAAUUGGGCAUUCAAGUCUCCCUCCUUCUCUGCUUUACCAAUCUCCACUAGAACUGUUAUGUCUCAAGAAAAAGUCGAAGCAUUCACUUUAAGGGCUAGCGACUUGAAGAGUAUAGUCUACAAAUUCUGGUGGCAUUUUACCAAAGAGCUCGAGCAAGUGGAGCUAGAACAGUGGGAGAACGCAGCAGCUUCUUCAAUACAAGGAGCUUGGCGCAACCGUUUGGCAAAGGCUAGGCAUUCAAAUUUCUGGGACAAAUUUACCGCCCAUUAUUACUGUAUAUUAUGUAAAUACUCUACUGAAACAAAGAUUUUCAUUUUGUAGUUAUUUUUAUUUUUAGGUGUUACAAGGUUUUUAUUUUAUUUUAUUGAGUUGUUGUAACGUUAUAUCUCAAAAGCACACUCUUUCUUCUCCUCCAUCUUCGUUUUGAUGAGUGAGCUCUCAUGGCGACGAACAGGAGACUUCUCCUCCAUCUUCAUUAGUUCAUCUUUGUUGAACUCCGGCGAACCCCGGUCAGAUAUCUUCAUCUCCCCUUUCCUCUUCAACUUUUCUGAAAAUAAAUCUAAGCCGUAUCAAACCAUGAAUCCAUCCAGUGCGCGCUAAUGAUAUAUCCUCUGAAUUUGGGAACUGUGAUAUGGCUGAAGCUCCGAUUAAUUCGUUAUCCCUUGCACGCCAAAAGUCUGAGGCUUUUGAAGGUCAGACUUAUGUAUCUAAACCCAUACCCUCACUAGUAAACACGGCUCCUCUGGGAUUUAAUCACUUUUCCGAUUUCAGUUUCUGGGCCAUUCAAUAUUAAUUUGUAUUUGAAUUUGAUUUGGGCUAGGAGUAACUAAGAGAAAUUUAACCCACCCACUAAAUUCAGGAUGUAUAUUACUGCCGACGAGAAUCUGAUACCAUAUAGGUUUAAUUUGACAUCUGGGUGGACUGCAUAAUUAUAUCUCAUCUUCUUGUUCAUGAUUUGGUUGAUAAGCAGCAAAAGUAAAAGUGAAUCUAUGUUUCAGAUUACAAAGAAUCUUUAUGAUCAACAUACAGUCAUACACCAUAUGAUUGAUUAUCUGUGCAUAUUGUAGAACCCAUUAUAGAUCUGAUCAAAGCCUCCCAAUUUAUAUUCAUCCAUUUCAUCAUUUUGUAGAUUUGAACAUCUGUACAAAAUAACAUCAAUACAAAUUCAAAUCCGAGCUGCAAACUGGUGGGUGGCGUUGAUCAAUCAAUUUAGCUUUUAGGAAAACUUAUUUGCCAUUGAAGAAGCUAAUUUGAUUAAUUUUAGUUCAUAGAGACGAAAAGAAACUAAUAUGAAACGGAAGAAAAAGACAGGAGAAUAAAGCAGACAAUCAAUUGAAGAAGACGAUGAUCAAGAAGAACCACGGCGCAGCUGCUGUGGUUGUUGGUGGUGAGAGCGGAUUGCUCUGGUACUCCUUCAGAUAAUAGAAAUUAGAAAAGGUGUUUUGGAGAGGAAGAGGCAGGAAGAGGCAAGAAGAGGUGAAGAGAUGGUGUUUCCUCGGUACUCUUUCGUCCUUAAACGGCGUUUUGUCAUUAAUUAACUCAUUUAAUGAGUUUUAGUGGGUUGUUGCUGAGGUGUUAUGUUCCUGACCUUUAGAUAUUGAAUGAAUGGACGUGAUUUGAAGUCAAGGAUAAACAAGUACAAGAGGCAGCCAAGGAGAGGAUCCUUAUCCUAUUUUCAUACGUUUGUAUCCAUGGAGUCAUCUCAGAUAUAGAGAUCCAGUAAUAAGGAUAAUUGCUUGUUUAUACCAUUUUAAUCCUUUUUUUAACAUUUGAGUUGGAUCAGAAGGAUAAUUGCUUGUUUAUACCAUUUUAAUCCUUUUUUUAACAUUUGAGUUGGAUCAGAUGACUAGUUAUUUCAAAUUCAUAUCAAAUAUACGCAUCUACUCAUUGUCUACAGUUUAUAACAUUUGAGUUGGAUCAGAUGACUAGUUAUUUCAAAUUCAUCAAAUAUAUGCAUCUACUCAUUUGAAAUGACUCAUAGUGAGAGGACCUCGGCCCGCUUUUAAAAAAGUGUAUUGUUGAUAUGAAUUUGAAAUAAGAGGAAAAUGCAGCGUCGGUACCCCAAUUUUGAUGGCAUGGUCAAAGUGGUACCUAUACUUUAAAAACUAUCAAUGUGGUACCCAAACCUCUAUUUCGCUACCAAGGAAAGGCUUGAGGCCAAUUUCCGUAACUGUGCCGUUAGUUUGUUGACAUGGCCGACAUAUGGCCCACCAAAAAAAGGUGCAAUGACAAAAAUAACUUUCUAACUCUCACCAAAACCGUUUUCCUUCUAUAAGCUUUAAAUUUGAAUUUUCCUGGGUAUCACAUUGAUCAGUUCAGAAAAGUUUAGGCACUGCUGCUGUGUUUAUCUGCUGACAAGAAAUAUUAUGCAAUAGCUGGAAAUGUAACAUAGAAAUUCAAACAUAGAACUAAAAAGGGCUGUCAAUAUCACUGAAUUAAAACUAACAUCAACAUGAGAAACAUACUAUACAUCAUAAUUCAAGCUUAAUUGGUUUCCAAAAACUCAAAGAACCACAUUGUUUGCAAAAAAUUGAUUCCAAACCAUGAUGAAGUACACAUUAUGUUUCUCUAAUUUAAAAGCCAACACAUUCACUAUGUAGAACCCCUUGCUGUAUGAUUUUGGCUGCUUUGAGUAGGAGGCUGUGUUGAAGCUGAUGCACUACCAUUUCCAGCAGAACUACCCUCCAUUGCCAACUUCUNNNNNNNNNNNNNNNNNNNNAAUCACCAUCAGAUACAUACCUUUGCUAAGAUGUCUAGACUCAACUAUACAAAAGAUUACUCCUAAAAUCACUAAAUAUCCAUAAGUCCACCCAUUCCUUUACCCAUGAUGCAUAGCAUGCUAUAUGCAGACAUGCAUACUAAUAUGAAUCAACACAAAUCUUGUACAUGGAAUCCAAAUAUCAUCAAUGAAAUCAAGACAAACAGUGUUAACUAAAAUGACAUAACAACUAAGCACACAAAAUCAGUAUCCAAUCAUAAAAAGUUCUCCCCAAGAUACCUUUGUCAAUUCUCACAGUAAGUUCCUGACCAAGACAACAAGUACUUUUUAGUAAUGCAACUCAUUAGUUCCAGUACUCUAAAUAUAAAGUAUUUAACUGAUAAAACACCCAAACAAACAUGACAAGUCAGUUGAUCCGAAAACAAGUUUACUGAACACAAAGAACUACUGCAGUUUUCUGACCCAGUCAUCUUCACCACAAAAACUGUACAAAUCCAUAAGGAAUUUGACUUCAUGGCCUUCUAAAGAAAUAAACUAGACAUCUUAGAGAAGCUUUCAGAAUUUGAAUCACCUCAAAAACAAAUUUCUGUAAUUAGAUAUGCAAUUUCAAAGUUCAGUAACAGUUUCAGGUUUUUCUGGAAAUUUUGCUAAAAGUGUCUAAACUUUGUUUUCAAAAACAAAACAGAAGAUCUAUGUGAUACAAAACUUCUAGGAACUGAACAUAAACACUCCAAUGUUUCAAAAAGAAGGAAAAAGAUACAAAACUUGCAACUUACAGACUAACUAAGAUCACCACAAAGAUAGCUAACAAAAUGUAAUAUACAACAGUCUUAACUUCUAUAAUUUCAGCAAAUUUAAAUCUAAAAUCAUGGUUUCUACUUUCAAUAGUAGAAACUAAUAACAUGUAUAAGAACCUCAUAAUCUAAUCAUUACAUAUGUACAAUCUCAUAUCAAAACAACAAAGAUUCAAAAACAAAGAGUACAAUUAAAAACAGAAAUCUGAAAUCACAAAACAACUUCCUAACUUUCUGACCAGUAAACUUUAUGGCUAAAACGACACAGCUUGACUGGGAAUUUACAGUUGGUGUCUUCAUAACAACUGUAAAAGACAACCUAAAGAUCAAUCAGGAACUGGAAUCGCAACAAAAGGAAUUUUUUACAAAUACUUAUGAUUUUCGGAAGUUGUAGACCUGCAUCAGGAAAAUUACUGAUUUUGGCUGAAAUCAGUUUUUGUUUUACAAACUGACUAAGAACCUAACCAAAUAGCUGAAAUUCACAAAAUUGAUCAUCUAUUUCAGCACUACGCGGACAAUUACACAACUCGUAGUUAUCAAAUCAUGUCCAAAUUGAAGCAAACAAAGUUAGGGUAUUGAAAAUUGGUAUUACCUUCAGAUCCGAAAGAAGAUUUGAAGCUAUAUCGAAAUCAUUAUAGAUCAACGCCGCUUUGAAUCGCCCGAAGUUCUGAGUCAGCUAGUUCAGCUUCGCCUCCAUUCUCGUCUAAUUUGCUUCCCUCUCUGGUUUUCCCUUUCGCUUUUCUCACUCUGCAAAUCACUCCUGGGUCUUUCAAUUUGGAGACGAACAAGAGGACAGAGUUUGUGGCCAACUAGAGAGAAGAGAAGAGGAAGAUUGGGGGGUCUCUUUGGGUACGAAUAUCGAGAAGAUGGUGGACUGCGGAAUUUCGAUAGAUCGAUCGAGGUUUAAGUUUGAGAGAGAAUGAAGAAGAUGUAGGUGUUUGGGAUCUAGGUUUUCAAGAGAAAAAGUGAUGAACAUGCAGGUGCGAUUUAGAUUAGGUUUCAGAGAAGAGAAGAGAAAAGGGAGUUUGGGAGGAGAUGGGGGAGGGAAAUCGAGUUUUGACUUGAUUUGGGUGUAGACUGUGUAAAAUGUCGUUUUUGCCCUUUUUUUGGUGGACCCGAUGCUGGCCACGUUAACAAACAGACGGCACCGUGACAAAAAUUGGCCUUAGGCCUUUCCUUGGUAGCAAAAACAAAGUUUAGAUACCACAUUGAUAGUUUUUAAAGUCUGGGUACCACUAUGACCGUGCCACAAAAGUUGGGGUACCGGUGCUGUCAAAACUUCUUGAAAUAAUUGAGUCAUUUCAUAUACCUUCUGUCUUGUAGUUUGCUGUAUUCUGUUUCUUGAGCAAAACUUGCCAUGCUGUUAACCGAAAUCUGCAGAUUUGCCUUGUGCCCUUGUCAAUAGUAAUAUUCUGAAUACAACUGUUCUUCAGGGCUGGUGGUUGGAAAUCGAACUUAAGCCUCAUUGAAAUUGUUAGGCCCCGCUCACCUGCGGCAGAGUAUUUACGGUACAGAAAGGGACAAAUCAACGAUGACCUUCAGAUUUAAAUAAAACUCAUCUGAGGGCUUAAACAAAUUCUAUCCCGAUUCGUGAGUUCAUACUUGAUCAUUCCUUGCUCUCCUUUUAGUCUUCUCUCUCUCCUCGCCGACCACACCAUGAGUCUACGUACGAUCAAAAGCUGAGAGAUAUGACGGCGGUUUAGGUCGAGGAGGAGGAUGGGCAGUUCGUGACGGUGAAUGCGAGGUGACGUCAGAAGAUGCGCGGGCGCCCUGGGCCUCCGAAGCGGCGGCGCUUGGGAUCUCUGUACCGGUUAGAAACCUUGGCAUCAGCAGCUCCAAUGUCUACCUCAUUCUGCCUAACCAACCACCCAGAACCUCUAUCUGCAAUAAAUUCCUAAAAUAAAAAUAAUAAUAAUAAAAUAAAAAUAAUAAAAACCAAACUUUCGAAUCAAACACUCAACACAACACCCACAACCAAAUCGAACCAAUCAACCCUCACUAUCUAUCAAUUCAGCUCAGAAAUCAAGAAUUGAUCCAAUCAAACAGACCCAGGAAAAAAAGCUGAGAUUAAUUAGAUCAAAACAUCAAUACCCAAGAAAGGUAAUCUAUAAGGGAUCCAAAUUUACUUGGAAGGGAGGAGGAGCAACCCAUUUGCGAGAUCAGAGUUUAGAGUUUUCGGGUCAUAAUCGUUCAAAUUGAAGAAACCCCAAAGAAUUUGACUCGUUGCUCUCCGUCAUAGCUAUGGUAGUGGUGGUGUUGCUGUGCACCUUGGCUGGGUUUUUUGACCGGUACGGAGAGAGAGAGAGAGAGAGAGAGAGAGAGAGAGAGAGAGAGAGAGAGNNNNNNNNNNNNNNNNNNNNNNNNNNNNNNNNNNNNNNNNNNNNNNNNNNNNNNNNNNNNNNNGAGAGGACUGAAAGGAGAGUAAGGAUGAUCAUGUGUGAACUCACGAAUUGGGGUAGAAUUUGUUUCGGCUCUCAUAUCAGUUUCAUUUAAAUCUAAAGAUCAUUGUUAAUCUGUUCCUUUCUGUCCUGUAAAUACUCUCCCGCAGGUGAGCGGGCCUGUUAAAUUGUUUAAAGGAAAGAAAAAACAUUUGCAUGAACUAGAAUAUUUUCCAGCUGAAAUGAAAUAUUACAAUUUUGAUAAACCUCAUGGUAAUAUAUUCAGAACAAGAUAAAUAGUAUAAUGCCAAUGACAUUGUUAAAGCUACAACCAGAUCCAUGAAUUAUUACAGAAAAGAAUACCACUAGUAGCUCACAAAGACACAGUUCAAAUUCACAGGAUCACAAUGUUGUCACAUAAUAUAUCCUAUCCUAAUCUUUGACACUAAUCUACCGAUCCUAGAAACCUAGACCAUAGCAGUAGGGCUGGUCUUCACUCAAUCGGUUGGAGAUACACCUGGUGAGCAACAUUGAUCAUUAUUUCAAGUUUUCAACUACUAUAAAGCAAGGUGGUUUGGUGUCAAAGGCUUCACCAAGUUUAGUUUACCUGUUAUACACUGGCACAUAUGGUGCAAGAAAUUAACUAUAACAUUCUAUAGCACAAAUAUAAUGUUCUUUGCAGUUUACAUAGUACUAAUUCACAAGUGUGGAAUAAUAUCGGUAUGGACAGAAGCUAUUUCAGCUUCUUCUGCUAAAGUUAUUUGAGCUUUUUACUGAAGUCAGAAAGCUGAAGAAUCUGAAUCCUGGAAAUACUAGCAGCUUCUUCCCUCUCUUUUUGUGUAUUGUACCCCCAAUCCCCUAAUCGAAGGCACAAAUUAGCAACCAAAGAAAGUGAGUACCACAAAAUACAAAUCCACAAUAAAGCAAAGCAAACACAGCAAUGAUACUAAACCAUUUAGCAGUAUCUUGUAAUACUAAAGGGAGAAAGUAAAGAGGAAUUUUACCUAGAUAGAGAUUCCAACCAUUUAAUUCGGGUUCUCCGAUGACAUUCUUCAGGGUUGCCAGUCUAUCUUCCAAAAAGCUGGUAAAAGUUGCAUAAUUUUUCUCAUUCAGAUUAACUAUGAUAGAGUAAUGAGAAGGAGGAUGUCCAGCGUAGCAGUGCAGAAUUUAGUCAAAAACUUCAAUAAUGGAGAUCAUUAUAUUGGAACAUGUUCUACACUACUACUAUUAGAUAUUAAGUGGAAAAGUAUCUUACUGAAGUUUAAGCCCCUGAUGUUUCUUCUGAAGUUGCUUCAAAACUUCUACCUUUGGACUGCAAGGGGAUUAAAAAGUGAGUAUUGUUCUACAUCAUCGAAAGCAAGCCACAGGCAUAAGUGUGAAACUACCAAAUACAGACUAUCAUUAAGUUAUUAUACUAACCCAGAUCCUAGACCAAAAAUUCUUUCAGGCGGUAUUGUAACUCCUGCUAGUUCUCGCAAUAAAGCAUCAGCAAAUCGGCUCUGGAUAGAAAAGAAACAGAAAUUAACAUUGUGGGAAAAUACCAGAAGGAAAAGUCUAAUCUACAAAGAAACUGAGCUAACUGCUCAUUAUAAAAUGUGUCAACACUAUCUUUCCCUGCUUAUGUCCUCUUCAUUUAGGGGAAAGUACAAUGACUAAAUACUCUAAUGCUUGGAUAAAUUGAUUAAAUUACACACCUGUUUCGUAGUGACAACGUAUAUGGUAGAGCUUGUGAAUUUUAGAGCAUCAGGAACACCCGGAUAUAAUCUGCAAACAAAGCCUCUCCCACUCAGUCAAGAAAUACAUUGACUAUAAACCAAAACUAUGUUACCUAUAACUAAAUCAAACAAGCCUCCGAAUUUCGCUUCAGAUUGUUUGAUCAAGAAUUUCAAAUUGGGGGCACCUCACCUAUUUGCACCAAUCCAAGUUUUCAAGUCAUGGUCCAUCCACUCAUCCCUGACCUUCGCAAACAAAUCUAUAAGCCCAUCCCUGUCCUCACCCCAUUCCUCCAUAAUCACAGGCUUCAAGUCUGACCACUUCUCCAAUAUCCCCUCCACUGUGAGCCCUUCACCAACUGAUGACUUCCUUAUAGAAGGAACCCUCAUCUCCAGAAGCAACCUCACAAGUAGAAGAUUCUCGUACCCAGUUUCCACCACAGGCCUCACCUAAUUCAUCAUCAUUCGUUUCUCCACAAUUAGACAAAUCAAAUAUUACACGGGUUUUGUGUGAUUAAGCAUGUUAGGGACUUACAAUGCGCAUUUGAUCAAGAACCCAAUUCUCCAAAGUUGAAUCCACACCGUUGAACAGAGCCGGCCAUCUGACUUUAGCUGCCUACAGAUUACCAUUCAAGGAAAGUAAACAAGUUGUGAAGUGAAAAGCUUGGAGGUUUGGAAUAGUAUGAUCAAAGACAAUACCUUCAUGGCAGAGAGAGAGCUCUCUCCGCAGCUAUCACAGAUGACUCCAUCGAAAUCCAAAGCGUAUAGAUCACCCAUUUCUGCUCUGAGACUCUAGCUUCUGUUUCUGACGGAGGUCUUUGAGCCCAAAUACUAUACUCUGCUUCAAUUAGUCCCACGACGACGUUCUACGGGACGACAAAGAUAGUUUAUACCAGAAAGAUACCCGGUGCGUUGCUACGGGAUUUCUUGUCAACAAAAUUUGUAUUCUACAUAAUAGAAUAGGCAGAAAUUUAAGAAUAUGGUUACUGAAAAUAAUCCAUUCUAAGGAACCAAAAGAAGAGCCACUAUCGUAUCAUAUUAAGUUAAAAUGAUGAAUUAAUAUGUUGCUUUACUCUAUACAUGUAUAGAAAAUAAUUGGAGUUCCAGAGUGAUACUACCUAGUUGAGUUUAACUAACCUAUAUACAUCUAUACAUGAUGCAAGCCUAAACUCAAAUCCAAUGACAUAUGCUUAUUCUUUACUUCUCUAUGCCCAUCAUAAAGUAUGUAUCCACAAUGCUAGUUUACAUUUUUACUUGCACAUAUGCUAAUAGCCAGGUGAAUACAUUAUACUGGAAGUUUAGCAGCGUUGAUCACUAUACAAAGUGAAUGUAAAUCAUAUAUUACUGGAAGCCAAUACAUGUUUUGAGGAGACUAUGACAUAUCUUCAUUAAAGUCAGUGCACAACUCAAAUGAAAAGUAUAUUGUAUUGAGUAAGCUAUUCAGACCCAACAAAAAAAAAAAACAAAACAAAACACAGAGCAAUAAUCCCAUUUUACUAUAUAUUCUUAAUAUCUGUCACAGACCACACCAAAGAGUAAACCAUAUACGUGGCAAGAAACAUUACUACUCUACGACACAUGCCCUCUUGUUAUAUAUUUUAAUUUCUUGAUAUAUGUGGUAUCUAUUUUAGCAUU